RNAcentral lists this ribosomal RNA (547 nucleotides) under uncultured bacterium. RNAcentral describes it as "bacterial SSU rRNA". It matches the Rfam family "Bacterial small subunit ribosomal RNA", at positions 355 to 896 of the family's 1533-position model. The record is from RNAcentral.
UGGGGAAUAUUGCGCAAUGGGGGGAACCCUGACGCAGCCAUGCCGCGUGAAUGAAGAAGGCCUUCGGGUUGUAAAGUUCUUUCGGUAUUGAGGAAGGUUGAUGUGUUAAUAGCACAUCAAAUUGACGUUAAAUACAGAAGAAGCACCGGCUAACUCCGUGCCAGCAGCCGCGGUAAUACGGAGGGUGCGAGCGUUAAUCGGAAUAACUGGGCGUAAAGGGCACGCAGGCGGUUAUUUAAGUGAGGUGUGAAAGCCCCGGGCUUAACCUGGGAAUUGCAUUUCAGACUGGGUAACUAGAGUACUUUAGGGAGGGGUAGAAUUCCACGUGUAGCGGUGAAAUGCGUAGAGAUGUGGAGGAAUACCGAAGGCGAAGGCAGCCCCUUGGGAAUGUACUGACGCUCAUGUGCGAAAGCGUGGGGAGCAAACAGGAUUAGAUACCCUGGUAGUCCACGCUGUAAACGCUGUCGAUUUGGGGAUUGGGCUUAAAGCUUGGUGCCCGUAGCUAACGUGAUAAAUCGACCGCCUGGGGAGUACGGCCGCAAGGUUA